RNAcentral lists this ribosomal RNA (492 nucleotides) under uncultured bacterium. RNAcentral describes it as "partial 16S ribosomal RNA". It matches the Rfam family "Bacterial small subunit ribosomal RNA", at positions 29 to 507 of the family's 1533-position model. The record is from RNAcentral.
AGUGAACGCUGGCGGUAGGCCUAACACAUGCAAGUCGAACGGCAGCACAGUAAGCUCUUGCUCUUACGGGUGGCGAGUGGCGGACGGGUGAGGCAUACAUCGGAAUCUACUUUUUCGUGGGUGAUAACGUAGGACAACUUACGCUACUACCGCAUACGACCUACGGGUGAAAGCAGUGGAUCUUCGGACCUUUCGCGUUUUAAUUAGCCGAUGUCGGAUUAGCUAGUUGGCGGGGUAAAGGCCCACCAAGGCGACGAUGCGUAGCUGGUCUGAGAGGAUGAUCAGCCACACUGGAACUGAGACACGGUCCAGACUCCUACGGGAGGCAGCAGUGGGGAAUAUUGGACAAUGGGCGAAAGCCUGAUCCAGCCAUACCGCGUGGGUGAAGAAGGUCUUCGGGUUGUAAAGCUCUUUUGUUGGGAAAGAAAAGCAGAAGGUGAAUACCUCGAUGUUCUGACGGUACCCAAAGAAUAAGCACCGGCUAACUUCGUG